Gavialis gangeticus (Gharial) is the source of this 860-nucleotide long non-coding RNA. RefSeq lists it as uncharacterized. The transcript has 2 exons. The record is from RefSeq and is a predicted model, not a curated record. NCBI's taxonomy places the organism in Eukaryota, Metazoa, Chordata, Crocodylia, Gavialidae.
CAAUGCUAAGGGGAGAUGCUGUGAAAGCACCCGCACCCGGUCUCUCCAUGUGCACUAAGUGCUGAAAAACAUGUCGCGCAACUGCUUUUUUGUGCAUGCCCAGCGCUGCUCUGUCUCGCCAUCUUCAGGGUGCUUACUGGUGUGGUGCCCAGCACGCCAGCCCUGCUCCAGCGUGGCUGCAUUCCUUUCGUCAGCCUUCUGCGCGUACAAGUCCAGAGCGGGGCUGUGUGGGCAGGGGUGUUGCCAUAGGAUGGCUUUUGAGCACAGUCCCCUAUGGCAGAGAGUUGCCCUGAGCCUCUCUGAGCUUUCUUUUUUCUGUCAUCCCAUGUUUAUAAAGGAAGUGAAGUGAUGUGGCUGGAAAGAGUGGGAGCUGUGCUGCUUGUGGCAGUGAGGGUCUGACUCAUGGUUUUGAUGUUCUCUGACUCACGAUUUUAAAUCUUUCAGGUUGGAAAUACUGCACUGCUUCACAAAACGGACUUCAGACAGGCAGAGAUGGCUGGGGGACAGUAGUCUUGCACAGGGACCCUGGCUGACUGGGGGAGUGCUGGCAGGAGCUACUUUCCUGGACCCAUGAGACACCCUUCCCUCUUCUCCCCCACCCCGGCCUGUUGUGUGGAGAGUACCUGUAGCUGAUACCUGCUUCACUGCUGGCAUAAGGUCUUGGGCAGAACUCAUACAGCCCACAAUGUGUCCAUACAUCUCCUCUUUAUCUUGAGAGACACCCUAAACACUAGCAAGCGCCAAGACAAAUUGAAGCAUCCAGCCUAAGGAAACAAGCACAUGGUGGAGUCCAUAUGUUUUAAAAUUAGGCUCAUCUUUGUUUAUAACGAUAUGGCCCUGUAAUAAAUGAAUAUGUAGCA